UGUUGUUUACGAGCUUAUGAAAUAAGUGCUUUUGGCAUAAGUUGUUUCUUUUAGCCUUGUAAAGCAUGAUGUUGAGGCUUGACUAAUUCACUAACUUAUUAAUCCUUUAACUUAUAUUCAUUAUCAUGUCAUUUUUUUACUUAUGUCUAUUUUAAUUAUAAAUUCCUUGAUGCUUUAAUAUUCAUUAAUUUCAUGCAAAUCAUUUCAUCUCAUCAUGUUCAUCCUUUGACAUACUUAAUUCCAUGCAUUUAAAUUUUAUUUCUAUCUUCACCAAUGUUGUAUUGUGUGCUAUUUCCUAAUUUUGGGUUGUAUUGUGUGUUUAUGGUUUUCUUAAUUAUGUUAUUCAUUUAUUUUUGUUUUUGGACUUAGAAUGUAAUUAGGAUUUAAUUGUAAUUAUAAAUGAGAAGUUGCAUUGCAUAUGUAUGGUUGCAUUCAUUCAUAUUUAUUUAUUGAAGUUUAGAAUGUAAUUAGGAUUUAUAAUGUAAUUGCAUUGCAUGCAUUUUAUUUAUUACGCUUUAUGCCGUGUUUGCGAUCCAACGUCGCUUCAAUCCCUCGCGUUUAGUUUAGUUUAUUGCAAAAACUCAAAAACAUUCAAAAAAAAUCAAAAUCUUUUCAAAAAGAAAUCUUCUACUCUUUUUCUCAAAUAAAAUUAAUUAAUCGCGUUUUUUUUAAAAUUUGAGGUCAAAACCUCUUUUUCAACGCGCAAAACUUUUUGCUCAUUUUUUCCUUCAAAAUUGAGGUCAAAACCUCUUCAAAAAAAAUCAAAUCAAAGAAAACAUUUUUUCCAAAAACAUCAAAAAUCUAAAAAAAAUCAUUUACUCUUUCAAAACCUUUUCCCAAAAACAAAACACAAAACAAAAAUAUUUUCAAUACAAAAGCACUUGGAUUUUAAGCCAAAGUUGCAUUUUUCAAAUUCAAUCAAUCAAAACUUCUUUUUUUCCAAACUCUUGGAUUUUAAACCAAGUGAUUUCAUUACACUCUUUUCUUAAAAAAAACCUUGGACUUCAAACCAAGAGACUUUUUAUCACUUAAACCUUUUCUCAAAAAACCUUGGACUUCAAACCAAGAGACUUUUUAUCACUUAAACCUUUUCUCAAAAAGCCUUGGACUUCAAACCAAGUGUUCGCGUCUCUUUUCUAAAUCAAACAUAAAUCAAUCCUAACUAUUUAGACUUAGUUUUCACAAAUAAAAAUUGAACCAACUUCACAUUUUAUGCCACUUUGGCUUUUCCAUUUUUGAAACCUUUUUCAAAACCAUAAAAAACAAACCAACAAACAAAUCGACUUUUACCCCGAACUAC
Molecule: long non-coding RNA, 1300 nt
Filed under: Trifolium pratense (red clover)
Lineage: Eukaryota; Viridiplantae; Streptophyta; Magnoliopsida; Fabales; Fabaceae
Description: long non-coding RNA (TPRA_LNC005929)
Source: RNAcentral